CUCCCAGCGCCCUUGCCCCCCCGCCGGGACCUCCCUUCCAGCAACAAAGCGCGGCUGCGGUUUCAGCCCCUUCCCGGUUCCGAGCGUAGCCGCCAGGGGCUAGAACUCGGCCCCCCGCUUCCCCGUCUCCGGGCGCUUCUUCCUGCAGCCAAAAGAGCCCCCCAGAAGCAUCAUCGCACGCGGGGAGCCUCCUACCAGCCUGAGCUGAGGGAGGGGGAUAGGCGCGCGCACCAGAUCUUCAAAGAUCAAAAGUUAGGGGAGCCCCACUCGCUGGGGACGGGAGCCUCGGAGAGCGCCGGGGCCCGAGCGCCGCCCCCAGCCAGGGAGCCGCACACACAGCGACCCUCCAAUCUCAGCUGCUGGCGGCGGCAGCGCGGGAGCCCUCACCCUUCCCUUUCCGGAAAUCGGCGGCUUGUAUUCAGGGAAGUCCGAACCAGAGCGGUGCGUGAAGCCCCGCACGGGCCGGCCGGCUGGGGCUGGGAGCGAGCGCGGCAGGGUGGGCUUGCGGGAGGGCAGAACGAGUGGCUCAGUGUCGGGCGCUGUCUGCUUUCCCACGUGCUUUCUCGGAAUACAAGCGAGGCGAGCACUACAGCUCGAGCGCGUCAUUAUUGUAGCAACAUUUUGGUAACUGUCAUAAGUAUCAGUGCCCAGGGUGUUACUGUCUUGUAACUGGUUUUGAUCACGUGUACAUGCCAGGCAAGGGAGGAGUGCGCUGUUCGGAAGGAAACAUUUGAAACAAAACUUUGAAAGAAUCUUUGUUCAUAAGGGAUGGCAAAGUGAAGGACAGCCACCUUUGUUCCAUAAAAUUUAUUAAAACGUUGCAAUUUGCCGUUUUUCCUUGACAGCCUUUUUUUGUUACUCUUGUUGCCUUGCAAGUGGACUUUAGAUCAGGAAAAAUCGGCUUUCCUCCACUCUCUGUAUUCCUUUUCUCUGCACUGGAGCACUGCAGUUCCCCCAAAACAAGUCAUCUUUGCUCCAUCCUGGGUGCUUUCUUAUCUGUCGGAGAGGCUCCGCUGGUGUGUAGAGGGUGCUCCUGAAGGCCACAUCUCUGAAAGCACAAUAAACAAUACACAGAAGCGUGAUCGUUAAGUUCACUCACAGCAUUGAAACAUUUCAGUAAAAUAUAUCUCUGGUAACAUAACAAAUCACUUUCUCACUGACCUUUGGCAAGCACAAACCUUGGCGAACACCCCAAGCCUGGUGGGGGUCAUUGUAGCAGAUAUCUCACUGCAGAGGGAAGCAGGGGUACAUCUACUACAUCCUUGUGGCUUCUGCCCUGGUCCUUACGCUGCUCGCCUCUUUGCCACAUUGAUCCCUGCACAAGUGAUUGCCACGUGGCAUGGAAAAGUUUCCUAUGAUGGGAGAAGGAAUAAAGCGGCUCUGCCCAGGAACCUUUAGCGGGGGAUUGCCGAGUACCUCCAAGAAAGUUUUCUACAGAACUUGGAGUGCAUCAACAUCUUGUUCCGCCGUACUGAUUAGGAGCACAGGGAAGUGUCCAGUGCACAGAAACACAGCAAGCCUUGUAUAUUUCUGUACCCUGAACCCAGCUCUGCACUACACAAACCCCUUUCCCAGUGUCUCCUCUCCUGCUUCUUGUUCGCUGGAGAGCAACUGCUGAAACUGACUAGUCUCCUCUGGAGUGGUGAACAGUUCCUGGCUGCCUUCCCCACUGGAUGACCCGCCAUGGGCUCAAAAUCAUUGUCUAACUCCACCUCUUCAUCAACAAUUUUGUCCUCUGGGUUAGGUCCUCUUUCUGCUGCCGCCUCCAGGCUCGCCGAAGUAUCCAUGGGAUUCUUAGUGGUGGAGGUGGGGUCAUCGCUGAGGAAAGCAUCCAGCUCCUUAUAAUACUGGCGGGUCUUGGGUGCCGCACCAGAGCCACGGUUUUCCUCCCUCACUUCCUGGUACACCUGCCUCAGUUUCUUUAUCUUCACUAUGUACUGCACUGUGUGUUGGUCAUACCGCUUUUUGCACAAAUUUCAAGAAAUCUGCCUGUAGAUAUAGAAAUUCCUAUGGCUGAAGCGCAGCUGGGACUGCACAGCCUCCCUCUCCACAAAUAUUGAGCAGAGCCAACAGCUUCACAGUGGUCCAAGUGAGAGUGUUUGGUGCAUGAGGCUGCCGUGGUCACCUGGGAAGAUGCGAUGAGACCUCUCCAUGCCAAGCAAACAGGAAAUGGAAAUUCAAAAAUUCCUGGGGCUUUAAAGUGCGAGGGACGGGUGGUUGUUUACCUGGCUGCAGGGCAACAGAGUUCAAACUGCUGACCAGAGCGGUCAGGAUGGGCAUUGUGGGACAUCUCCUGGGGGCCAAUUAAAGUGGUAAAAUCAAGCACAAAGUCUACACUGGUAUUUGUUGACAAAACUUUUGUGCAUAAAGCCUUAUGUUUCUCAUUGGGGUGGUUUUAUUUUGUCGCCAAAACAGAGCAUUUUUGAUGCCAAAAGUCACAUUGUAGUGUAUAUGCAUCCACUGUUUUGUCGACAAAACUCUGUAGUGUAGAUGAGCCUCAGUUUGUACUGUCUUUCUUCCCUGGUUAACACUUACUUAACUUCACAGAUAAAAAGGUUUCUUUGUUCUUCAGUAAUGCCCCAGUACUGCGCCAUUGGGACUUAUACAGUAGUAACAGAUUCAGAAAGGCUCAACUUGUCAAUUAGAAUUUGGUUUGAGCUAGUCAACAUUCACAGAUGCUCUUGCUCCUGAACCCCUUAAGUGCUUUUUUUCAGUCAUACUAUAUCAACCUCAUGAUCUAGAAAGAAUGAACUACUCUAUAU
This is a long non-coding RNA of Gopherus flavomarginatus (Mexican gopher tortoise), 2762 nucleotides long. RefSeq lists it as uncharacterized. The transcript is spliced from 3 exons. The record is from RefSeq and is a predicted model, not a curated record. Lineage: Eukaryota; Metazoa; Chordata; Testudines; Testudinidae.